UUGACAUCCGAAGCGGGUGGGUUGCUGUCACCGGCGGCGAUGUCGACGGCUGCAGCCACCGCCACCCUGACCUCCUCCCCCUUCGCGCGGCGGCCUCGCGCCCCGCGGGGCGGCAGGCGGACGGUGCGGCCGUGCGCGUUCCACCCGGAGGUGGCCCGCGCGGUGGAGUCGCUGCAGGCAGAGUUCCGGGAGGUGGACCGCGCCCUCGCCCUCAACUCCUCCCGCGUCUCCGCCGCAUUCCGCGCCGCCCGCGUCGCUCCCCACCACUUUGGUGGUUCGACGGGGUACGGCCACGACGACGCCGGCGGCCGGGAGGCGCUCGACUCCGUCUUCGCCCACGUCGUCGGCGCCGAGGCCGCCAUCGUGCGCCCCCAGUUCUUCUCCGGCACGCAUGCCAUCGCCUGCGCUCUGUUCGCGCUGCUGCGUCCCGGACACGAGCUCUUGGCGGUCGCCGGGCCUCCAUAUGACACCCUGGAGGAGGUCAUUGGGAUCAGAGGUUCGGCCAAUGUAGGAUCGCUUAAGGACUUUGGAGUUACAUACCGAGAAGUUCCGCUCGCAGCAGAUGGUGGCCUUGACUGGGAUGCUCUUGCGUGUGCCGUCGGACCAGAGACCGGGUGCGCGCUCAUACAGAGGUCCUGCGGUUACUCGUGGCGCAAGAGCCUGGGCGUAGCUGAUAUCCGUAGAGCCAUUGAUUUGAUCAAGAUGCAAAAUCCAAACUGCAAGGUCAUGGUUGACAACUGCUACGGUGAAUUUGUUGAGACAUCAGAGCCUCCAAUGGUGGGAGCAGAUCUGAUUGCCGGUAGCUUGAUAAAGAACCCCGGUGGUACCAUCGCGCCUUGUGGUGGCUACGUUGCUGGGAAGAAAGAUUUGGUUGCCGCAGCUGCAGCUCGCCUAUCCGCACCGGGCCUUGGGGUGGAGUUUGGGUCCGCACCUGGACAUGUUAUGCGAGCAAUGUUUCAGGGCUUGUUUCUUGCUCCGCAGAUGGUUGGAGAGGCAGUAAAAGGUGGUUUGCUAAUUGCAGAAGUCAUGUCAGCCAAGGGCUAUAGAGUUCAACCACUUCCAAGGGCGCCACGCCAUGAUAUUGUGCAGGCAGUAGAGCUUGGCAACAGGGAGAGACUCAUAGCAUUCUGUGAAGUUGUCCAACAAACCUGCCCAGUAGGAUCAUUUAUUAAGCCAACCGCUGGGGAAACUCCUGGUUAUGCUUCAGAGGUCAUUUUUGCUGAUGGGACAUUCAUGGAUGGAAGCACAAGCGAGCUAUCAUGUGACGGGCCCUUAAGAGAUCCAUACGCUGUCUUCUGUCAGGGAGGAACGCAUUGGACACAAUGGGCUCUUGUCCUGGGUGAAGUUCUCAAGGUCAUAUAGCUGUUGUUACCAUAACUAUAUCCCAUUUCUGGAAUGGAGGUCACGUAGCCAUUUGUUAUGUUACCAAAAGACUUCCAUUUAUAGAAGUAUAAUUGACUAGAACCAUCAUGGCCACAAAAUUCUUUUGGUUGAACCUAUCGGCGAUUUAAGGCAACAGGUUUCAAGGCUGUGAAUAAUUCAGCAGGCUGCAUUGUGCAUCAAUAGAUUGCCAGAGUAAGUUGAAGCCGGAGCAUCAUUGAUUUUGGAUAGCUUAUGUGAUCAACUCGGCAGUUGAUUAGGAUUCCACACCCUAAACUGUAGUGGGUUAGUUAGAAAUGCUUUGAAAGUGGUGUGUGCCAUGUACUACCAUUUGUAUGGGUUUGCCCAUUCAUUCAACAAGAGAUAGAUGACCGUCACAGCACUUCAUUUUGGAGGUUU
This is a non-coding RNA of Triticum urartu, 1779 nucleotides long. Lineage: Eukaryota; Viridiplantae; Streptophyta; Magnoliopsida; Poales; Poaceae. The record is from RefSeq and is a predicted model, not a curated record.